AAUAUUGCACAAUGGGCGCAAGCCUGAUGCAGCAACGCCGCGUGAGCGAUGAAGGCCUUCGGGUCGUAAAGCUCUGUCCUCAAGGAAGAAUAAAUGACGGUACUUGAGGAGGAAGCCCCCGGCUAACUACGUGCCAGCAGCCGCGGUAAUACGUAGGGGCAAGCGUUAUCCGGAAUCACUGGGCGUAAAGGGUGCGUAGGCGGUUUUCAAGUCAGAAGUGAAAGGCUAUGGCUCAACCAUAGUAAGCUUUUGAAACUGUUAAACUUGAGUGCAGGAGAGGAAAGUGGAAUUCCUAGUGUAGAGGUGAAAUUCGUAGAUAUUAGGAGGAACACCAGUGGCGAAGGCGACUUUCUGGACUGUAACUGACGCUGAGGCACGAAAGCGUGGGGAGCGAACAGGAUUAGACACCCUGGUAG
This 416-nucleotide ribosomal RNA is filed under the name uncultured bacterium. RNAcentral's name for it is "bacterial SSU rRNA". It matches the Rfam family "Bacterial small subunit ribosomal RNA", at positions 360 to 793 of the family's 1533-position model. The record is from RNAcentral.